This is a non-coding RNA of Ovis aries (sheep), 127 nucleotides long. The record is from Rfam. Lineage: Eukaryota; Metazoa; Chordata; Mammalia; Artiodactyla; Bovidae.
GUCUAUGGCCAUACCACCCUGAACGAGCCUGAUCUCAUCUGAUCUCGGAAGCUAAGCAGGGUCGGACCUGGUUAGUAUGUGGAUGGGAAAAUGGCACGGCUACAUGUGUGACAGUGUGCCAAGAGUU